Synchiropus splendidus (mandarinfish) is the source of this 74-nucleotide small nucleolar RNA. RefSeq annotates it as small nucleolar RNA SNORD34. The transcript has a single exon. Lineage: Eukaryota; Metazoa; Chordata; Actinopteri; Syngnathiformes; Callionymidae. The record is from RefSeq and is a predicted model, not a curated record.
UCCUGUCAAUGAUGAUUCCCAAUUUACCUACCUUGUUUGAGUGAUUCUGAAAAGAGAACAUGGCUGAGACAGUG